UACGUAGGGUGCAGGCGUUAAUCGGAAUUACUGGGCGUAAAGCGUGCGCAGGCGGUUUCUUAAGUCAGAUGUGAAAUCCCCGGGCUUAACCUGGGAACUGCAUUUGUGACUGCAUGGCUAGAGUGCGGCAGAGGGGGAUGGAAUUCCGCGUGUAGCAGUGAAAUGCGUAGAUAUGCGGAGGAACACCGAUGGCGAAGGCAAUCCCCUGGGCCUGCACUGACGCUCAUGCACGAAAGCGUGGGGAGCAAACAGG
This 253-nucleotide ribosomal RNA is filed under the name uncultured bacterium. RNAcentral's name for it is "partial 16S ribosomal RNA". It matches the Rfam family "Bacterial small subunit ribosomal RNA", at positions 524 to 776 of the family's 1533-position model. The record is from RNAcentral.